UAAGUUAAUAAGGGCGCACGGUGGAUGCCUUGGCACUAGGAGCCGACGAAGGACGUGACAAACGACGAUAUGCCUUGGGUAGCUGUAAGUAAGCGAUGAUCCAGGGAUUUCCGAAUGGGGGAACCCAACAGGUAAUACCUGUUACCUACAUCUGUUAAGGAUGUGAGGAGGAAGACGCAGUGAACUGAAACAUCUAAGUAGCUGCAGGAAGAGAAAGCAAAAGCGAUUGCCUUAGUAGCGGCGAGCGAAACGGCAGAAGGGCAAACCGAAGAGUUUACUCUUCGGGGUUGUAGGACUGCAAUGUGGACUCAAAGAUUAUAGAAGAAUGAUUUGGGAAGAUCAGCCAAAGAGAGUAAUAGCCUCGUAUUUAAAAUAGUCUUUGUACUUAGCAGUAUCCUGAGUACGGCGGGACACGUGAAAUCCCGUCGGAAUCUGGGAGGACCAUCUCCCAACCCUAAAUACUCCCUAGUGACCGAUAGUGAACCAGUACCGUGAGGGAAAGGUGAAAAGCACCCCGGGAGGGGAGUGAAAUAGAACCUGAAACCGUGUGCCUACAACAAGUUCGAGCCCGUUAAUGGGUGAGAGCGUGCCUUUUGUAGAAUGAACCGGCGAGUUACGUUAUGAUGCGAGGUUAAGUUGAAGAGACGGAGCCGUAGGGAAACCGAGUCUGAAUAGGGCGCCUUAGUAUCAUGACGUAGACCCGAAACCAUGUGACCUACCCAUGAGCAGGUUGAAGGUGCGGUAAGACGCACUGGAGGACCGAACCAGGGCACGUUGAAAAGUGCUUGGAUGACUUGUGGGCAGCGGAGAAAUUCCAAACGAACUUGGAGAUAGCUGGUUCUCUCCGAAAUAGCUUUAGGGCUAGCGUCGACAUUAGAGAUUCUUGGAGGUAGAGCACUGUUUGGGUGAGGGGUCCAUCCCGGAUUACCAAUCUCAGAUAAACUCCGAAUGCCAAUGAAUUAUGGUCGGCAGUCAGACUGCGAGUGCUAAGAUCCGUAGUCGAAAGGGAACAGCCCAGACCACCAGCUAAGGUCCCAAAAUAAUUGUUAAGUGGAAAAGGAUGUGGGGUUGCACAGACAACUAGGAUGUUAGCUUAGAAGCAGCUAUUCAUUCAAAGAGUGCGUAAUAGCUCACUAGUCGAGUGACCCUGCGCCGAAAAUGUACCGGGGCUAAAACAAUUUACCGAAGCUGUGGAUACCUUUAUAGGUAUGGUAGGAGAGCGUUCUAUGUGUGAUGAAGGUAUACCGUGAGGAGUGCUGGAACGCAUAGAAGUGAGAAUGCCGGUAUGAGUAGCGAAAGACAGGUGAGAAUCCUGUCCACCGUAAGACUAAGGUUUCCAGGGGAAGGCUCGUCCGCCCUGGGUUAGUCGGGACCUAAGGAGGGACCGAAAGGUGUAUCCGAUGGACAACAGGUUGAUAUUCCUGUACUAGAGUAUGUAGUGAUGGAGGGACGCAGUAGGCUAACUAAAGCAGACGAUUGGAAGAGUCUGUCUAAGCAGUGAGGUGUGAAUUGAGUCAAAUGCUUAAUUCUAUAACAUUGAGCUGUGAUGGGGAGCGAAGUUUAGUAGCGAAGUUAGUGACGUCACACUGCCAAGAAAAGCUUCUAGCGUUUAAACAUACUCUACCCGUACCGCAAACCGACACAGGUAGUCGAGGCGAGUAGCCUCAGGUGAGCGAGAGAACUCUCGUUAAGGAACUCGGCAAAAUGACCCCGUAACUUCGGGAGAAGGGGUGCUGACUUUAAGUCAGCCGCAGUGAAUAGGCCCAAGCAACUGUUUAUCAAAAACACAGCUCUCUGCUAAAUCGUAAGAUGAUGUAUAGGGGGUGACGCCUGCCCGGUGCUGGAAGGUUAAGAGGAGUGCUUAGCGUAAGCGAAGGUAUGAAUUGAAGCCCCAGUAAACGGCGGCCGUAACUAUAACGGUCCUAAGGUAGCGAAAUUCCUUGUCGGGUAAGUUCCGACCCGCACGAAAGGCGUAAUGAUUUGGGCACUGUCUCAACGAGAGACUCGGUGAAAUUUUAGUACCUGUGAAGAUGCAGGUUACCCGCGACAGGACGGAAAGACCCCAUGGAGCUUUACUGCAGUUUGAUAUUGAGUGUCUGUACCACAUGUACAGGAUAGGUAGGAGUCUAAGAGAUCGGGACGCCAGUUUCGAAGGAGACGCUGUUGGGAUACUACCCUUGUGUUAUGGCCACUCUAACCCAGAUAGGUGAUCCCUAUCGGAGACAGUGUCUGACGGGCAGUUUGACUGGGGCGGUCGCCUCCUAAAAGGUAACGGAGGCGCCCAAAGGUUCCCUCAGAAUGGUUGGAAAUCAUUCGCAGAGUGUAAAGGUAUAAGGGAGCUUGACUGCGAGAGCUACAACUCGAGCAGGGACGAAAGUCGGGCUUAGUGAUCCGGUGGUUCCGUAUGGAAGGGCCAUCGCUCAACGGAUAAAAGCUACCCUGGGGAUAACAGGCUUAUCUCCCCCAAGAGUUCACAUCGACGGGGAGGUUUGGCACCUCGAUGUCGGCUCGUCGCAUCCUGGGGCUGUAGUCGGUCCCAAGGGUUGGGCUGUUCGCCCAUUAAAGCGGCACGCGAGCUGGGUUCAGAACGUCGUGAGACAGUUCGGUCCCUAUCCGUCGCGGGCGUAGGAAAUUUGAGAGGAUCUGCUCCUAGUACGAGAGGACCAGAGUGGACUUACCGCUGGUGUACCAGUUGUCUUGCCAAAGGCAUCGCUGGGUAGCUAUGUAGGGAAGGGAUAAACGCUGAAAGCAUCUAAGUGUGAAACCCACCUCAAGAUGAGAUUUCCCAUGAUUAUAUAUCAGUAAGAGCCCUGAGAGAUGAUCAGGUAGAUAGGUUAGAAGUGGAAGUGUGGCGACACAUGUAGCGGACUAAUACUAAUAGCUCGAGGACUUAUCCA
RNAcentral lists this ribosomal RNA (2897 nucleotides) under Streptococcus pneumoniae GA44378. Its description in RNAcentral is "bacterial LSU rRNA". It matches the Rfam family "Bacterial large subunit ribosomal RNA". The record is from RNAcentral. Lineage: Bacteria; Bacillati; Bacillota; Bacilli; Lactobacillales; Streptococcaceae.